CCUACGGGUGGCAGCAGUGAGGAAUAUUGGUCAAUGGGCUUACGCCUGAACCAGCCAAGUCGCGUGAGGGAAGACUGCCCUAUGGGUUGUAAACCCUUUUUGUCAGGGAGCAACGCUGCCUACGUGUAGCCGGACUGAGAGUACCUGAAGAAAAAGCAUCGGCUAACUCCGUGUCAGCAGCCGCGGUAAUACGGAGGAUGCGAGCGUUAUCCGGAUUUAUUGGGUUUAAAGGGUGCGUAGGCGGAAUGCCAAGUCAGCGGUAAAAUCGCGGGGCUCAACCUCGCUCCGCCGUUGAAACUGGCGUUCUUGAGUGGGCGAGAAGUAUGCGGAAUGCGUGGUGUAGCGGUGAAAUGCAUAGAUAUCACGCAGAACUCCGAUUGCGAAGGCAGCAUACCGGCGCCCAACUGACGCUGAAGCACGAAAGCGUGGGUAGCGAACAGGAUUAGAUACCCGGGUAGUC
Molecule: ribosomal RNA, 460 nt
Filed under: uncultured bacterium
Lineage: Bacteria
Description: partial 16S ribosomal RNA
Rfam family: Bacterial small subunit ribosomal RNA
Source: RNAcentral